Molecule: RNA transcript, 5192 nt
Organism: Betta splendens (Siamese fighting fish)
Lineage: Eukaryota; Metazoa; Chordata; Actinopteri; Anabantiformes; Osphronemidae
Exons: 2
Source: RefSeq, a predicted model, not a curated record
UUCAGCGAUUAGAGAGGUUUCCCAAGAUUACUGCUAAAGACAACAUAAAGUUAAGAGAAUUAGGAGAUUUGCUGCAGGAAAUUGAAGGUGCUAAAGAAGAUGGCUACCUCACAGGCCUGACAUACUUGGACACUCCACGGGGAAUAGCACCAAUUGUGGAAAAACUUCCAUUCGGUCUUCAAGAGAGGUGGGUCUCUAUUGGUUCUUUUUUACAAAGAAGAGAACUUUGGUCGCUUUCCACCCUUUGAGCACUUUUGCAAGUUUGUGUGCCAUGAAGCAAAGAAGAGAAAUGACCCCAGUUUCAUGUGUCAGUCCAGCCCCACAACUCAUUCCAAACCAGCUAAGUAUACCUCAAACCAUUUCAUCCCAAACAAACCAGUCUCUGUGCACAAAACAAAUGUUUCUAUCACCAAUACUGAUCCUAACAAGAACUGUCCACUACAUAACAAACCUCAUCCACUUAAGAAAUGCAGAAUGUUCCGGAACAAGCCCUACAGUGAGAGGAGGACAAUCCUCAAAGAGAAAGGAAUAUGUUUCAAAUGCUGCUCUUCUACUUCCCAUUUAGCCAAAGCCUGCAUGUCAGCUGUGAAGUGUUCUGAAUGCAGUAGUAGCUAUCACGAUGCAGCAAUGCACCCUGACUCAUCAUACCAAACAAUCAAGGCUCCCUCAACGGCUCAAGAAGACGGCGGGGAGGGGGAAGAGCAAACAGAUGCCAUCAACACAAGCUGCACAGAAGUCUGCGGCCCAGGUCAGUGGAACCGCUCAUGCUCAAAGAUAUGUCUUACUAAGAUUUAUCCAAAAGGCGCUCAGGACAAAGCCAUUAAAGCUUAUGUAAUAUUGGAUGAUCAAAGUAAUCGCUCACUAGCUAGGUCAGAGUUCUUCGAACUGUUUAAUAUAGAGAGCAGUCCAUGCUUCUACUACCUCAAAACUUGUUCUGGAGUCACAGAAACAUCAGGCAGAAAGGCUGAGGGAUUCCAGAUAGAGUCACUCGACGGCAAAGUCGUCAUCUGUCUCCCUCCACUCCUAGAAUGCAACGACAUCCUGAACAACCGUUCAGAGAUUCCAACUCCAAGUGCAAUCAUGCACCAACCCCAUUUAAGAGACAUUGCUAAACACGUCCCAGACUUAGAUCCAGAUGCAAAAAUACUACUGCUACUGGGAAGAGAUGUCAUUAGAGCACAUAAAGUCAGAGAGCAGAUUAAUGGACCACACAACGCACCCUUUGCACAACGUCUGGACCUUGGCUGGGUGGUUGUUGGAGAUGUGUGUCUCGGGAACGUGCACAAACCCAUGGUAAAGACAUUCAAAACCAACGUGCUAGAGAACGGCCGACCUUCAAUAUUUCAGCCUUGCACCAGCUUCAUACACGCCAGAGAAGCACGGCAUGAUUAUGACCAGCGAUGCAGUGUUAAUGAAAAAAUGCUAGGACAGUCUGUGUUCAUCCAAACAGAACAUGACAACAAGCCUGCUCCAUCAGUGGAAGACAAAGUAUUCCUAAAACGAAUGGAUGCAAAGGUCUACAGAGACGAAGAUAACAGUUGGGUUGCGCCAUUGCCUUUCAGAGAACCCAGACAGCGUUUGCCAAAUAACAAAGAGCAAGCAAUUAGUCGAUUCACUUCCCUGAAACGAACAAUGAAAAGGAAACCAGAGAUGCAGCAACAGUAUGUGGAGUUCAUGGGAAGGAUAUUUGCCAAUGGACAUGCUGAGGUGGCACCUCAACUGAAGGAAAAUGAGGAAUGCUGGUAUCUCCCAACAUUUGGAGUUUAUCACCCACAGAAACCCAACCAGAUCAGAGUGUUUUUUGAUUCUAGUGCACAGUGGUCUGGCACCUCACUCAACGAUGUGCUUCUUAAAGGUCCUGAUCUAAAUAACAGUCUCCUAGGUGUUCUGUUACGGUUCAGGAAAGAGAAGGUUGCAGUUCUUGCUGACAUCCAGCAAAUGUUUCACUGUUUCCUAGUACAUGAAGACCACAGAAACUUCUUACGAUUUCUUUGGCACAAGGAUAAUGACAUCAACAAGGAGGUUGUCGAGUACAGAAUGAGAGUCCACGUCUUCGGUAACAGUCCGUCGCCUGCAGUUGCUGUCUAUGGGCUAAGAAGAGCCAUAAGGGAAGGUGCACAAAGGUAUGGCGAGGACACUGUUAAGUUUGUGGAAAGACACUUUUAUGUCGAUGAUGGCCUAAUAUCAGUGUCAACUGAAGCUGAAGCAAUUGAUCUUCUGAAACGAACACAGGCUUCACUCGCAGAGUCUAACCUGUGUUUGCACAAGCUCGUUUCAAACUGUCAGGCAGUCACAGAGGCCUUCUCACCAGAAGACUGUGCAGUGGUGAAGAACUUGGAUUUGAGUGGAAAAGACACACCCACACAGCGAAGUUUAGGUCUUCUGUGGGAAAUCAGAACAGACACAUUCACCUUCUCAGUGCCACCAAAUAACAAGCUAUUCACUCGUCGAGGUGUUCUGUCUACUGUGAGUAGCAUUUUCGAUCCUCUGGGCCUGAUUGCUCCGGUCACAAUCCAGGGAAGAGCAAUUCUAAGAGAACUUACCUCCGAGCAGUCUGACUGGGACACACCCCUGCCUGCAGAUAGGCUAAACCAAUGGGAGGCGUGGAGAAAUUCACUUCAAGAUCUAAAGCAGCUUCAUGUCCCACGUAUUUAUACUGCGGCUUCACCCAGUGAAACAACAUACAAAGAACUGUGUGUGUUCUCAGAUGCUUCAGUCAAAGCUAUAGGUGCAGUAGCAUAUUUAAGAACAGUUCAAGAACACGGCCAUGUCGAGGUGGGAUUCAUCAUGGGUAAGGCGAAGCUGGCACCACAAUCUGACCCAACAGUCCCAAGACUUGAGCUCUGUGCAGCCGUCUUAGCAGUUGAAAUGGCUGAUCUCAUACAAGACGAGCUGGAUCUGGAACUGGAUGCUGUCAAGUUUUACACAGACAGCAAAGUGGUUCUUGGUUACAUCUGUAACGAAUCAAAACGAUUCUAUUUGUACGUCCAUAAUAGAGUCCAGCGAAUUCGCAUGUCAUCAAGGCCAGAACAAUGGAAUUACGUCCAUACAGAGAAGAACCCUGCUGACCAUGCUUCAAGAUCCGUGCCUGCAUCUCAUCUUGCUCAGACCUCAUGGUUUACAGGACCUGACUUCCUCCGUAAGACACCUGUGGAAGAAACACAACCCAGUCCAUCAUUUGAGUUAAUCGAACCAGAAACGGAUGUGGAAAUUCGACCAGAAGUAAGGACCUGUGCUACCUUCCUGGACAGCAAAGUGCUAACAUCUGAACGCUUUCAGCGAUUCUCUACCUUUACCUCAUUGGUAAGAAGCAUAGCAUCACUUAUCCACAUUGCCAAAUCAUACAAUCACUCAGUUCAAAACAGCAAAUGCAAGGGAUGGCACAUAUGUAACUUACCGCAUACUCAAGAGGAACGUGACCAAGCCAAGGACGUUAUCUUCAAAGCAACGCAAAUUUCAGCUUUUGCCAAGGAACGUGCAGCCUUGCACACCAACAAAAUGAUACCUACCAACAGCUGUUUAAGGACACUCAAUCCAAUCCUGGAUAAUGGUCUUCUUGUUUUAGGAGGACGCCUUAAAUAUUCAGGCCUCACAUCUGUGGAAAAGAACCCAAUAAUCCUGCCGAAGCGCAACCACAUCUCUGUGCUGCUCACACGUUAUUACCAUGAGCAAGUGAAACACCAAGGUCGCCAUCUGACAGAAGGUGCCAUCAGGGCCGCUGGUUUGUGGAUUUUGGGAGGCAAAGCUCUGGUCAAUUCAGUGCUUCAUAAAUGUGUGAUCUGCCGCAAACUGCGAGGAAAACAGGAAGAGCAACAUAUGUCAGAUCUGCCACCUGAACGACUCCAAGUCUGCCCUCCAUUUACAUAUGUAGGACUAGACGUUUUUGGGCCAUGGUCUGUCAACAUCAGACGUACUAGAGGAGGACAAGCGGGAAGCAAAAGAUGGGCUAUCAUGUUCAGUUGCAUGAGUUCACGAGCAGUCCACAUCGAGGUCAUCGAGUCUAUGGACACGUCCAGCUGCAUCAACGCCCUCAGGCGUUUCUUCGCACUCAGAGGCCCUGCAAAGCAGUUACGAUCUGACUGUGGCACUAACUUCAUCGGUGCAAGCAAAGAACUGGGCAUGGACAAAAGGAUGCAUAGUUACCUGAGUGAACAGGGUUGCACAUGGGUAUUCAACCCACCCCAUGCCUCUCAUAUGGGAGGUUCCUGGGAACGAAUGAUAGGCAUCGCUAGAAGAAUCCUCGACUCAAUGUUUUUACAGCAGAACAUUCGACUAACACAUGAGGUACUGUGCACACUGAUGGCAGAGGUUACAGCCAUUAUGAAUGGACGGCCGCUUACACCUGUGUCUUCAGAUCCAGAAAACCCCUUCAUUCUUUCUCCGUCGAUGCUCCUCACACAGAAAGUAGGAGUUCCGCCUCCAUUAGGGGAGUUUUCAGACAAAGAUCUACACACAAAGCAGUGGAGACAGGUUCAGACCCUAGCAGAUCAGUUCUGGACUCGUUGGAAAAAGGAAUAUCUGCACACUCUGCAAUGCAGACAGAAGUGGACGGAAAUUCGAAGGAACCUUCAAGUCGGAGACUUGGUCCUACUAAAGGAUAAACAGGUUGCACGCAACUGCUGGCCCAUGGCCAGAGUCACUGCCACAUUCCCUGGUAAAGACGAACAUGUCAGGAAAAUCGAGUUGCAAACAACAGAGGGAGGAAACCCAAAGACUUUUCUGAGACCUGUAGGAGAGGUUGUUCUACUCGUGUCUAAAGACUGAAGUAAUAACUGUUUGAUUUGUUCUGAUGUUCAGUGACCUUACAAAGGUCAGACGGGGAGUGUGUUGCCUUUAAGGCAAUCUUUAAUUUAUGUAUAUUUUUUCCUAAAUUUGUAUUUAAGUUUGUUUGAUGCAAAGUGUUCAUCUCAAAUGUUUAUAAGUAUGUGUAUAAUAAUAUAAAAUUGUUUCUCUUAGGACAAAUCGCUAAUUUGAGAAGUUUAUAUAAUCUCGCGAUAUGUGUUAAGUGACUUCCGGUUUGCGGGAGAUCGCGUUAGUAAUUUCCUGUUUACGACGGGAUACGGGAGAAACUAGGCACAUGCGACCGUCAUGUGAAUCUCUUGCCAUCCGCUAAGAAAUACCAUAGACGCAAUGCCUUUUUACCAAAUCACCAUAUAAAGUGAAGAGAAGAAAAUAAACGACACUUUAAUGAA